AGUGUGUCCCACCUGGUUGAGGUGGUUCCUCAGAAGCUGUCCUGGGUCAUUUGAUGUGUCCCGAGCAAACAGAAGCACAGAGAAAAAUGGAAAACACCCCAGUUCCUUCAAUGGCUCCCAGAAUGUGAAGAAGCAUCCUGGCCACAUUUCCAUCUGCUGAGGAUACUUUAUCAGGCACCGAGCUUGAGAUGGCCUCUGACCAGCCCAGUUCAAGGUGGGGCUGUCACUGCCUAAUUCUUAGAAUCAUUCCUUUUAAAACGCAGCCAGGAAACACCAAUUAUUUUUGGUCAUUUAACUAUGUGAAAUCACCCCAGCCGCACAAAACUGAAUAAACGCACAUGCUGACAUCAUACUGCAGACGACGCUAGAAGGUAGCAUGGACAGAAAGGGAAAGUUUUCUCACAAAAAUUGUUUGAAACAUUUUGAACUCAAACCUGCAGCAGCAGCGUACCAGCAUGAGCUCCGGGUCCUGCAGCCAGGGCGGCAGCCCCACAGCCUGGCUCAUGGCCUGGAACAGCGUGGCCCUCAGUGCACAGUAAUUAUCACCACGGACUCGCCGUAUGGAGGUGAACUUCUGAGAAACCUCUUCAUAGCCCUGGGAAAAGAAUUUAGGAAUAAGAAUGUAUAGAAUUUCAUCACUAUUGCAUCAUUCCUAUAGACCUUGGCAGCCAGAAUCCAUCUUAAAAUAGUGGUCUUCAAACUGAGGCACCUGUAUCUCCUGAGGUGCAGCAACACCAAUUUUAUACAGCUGUGCAGCAAAGGCCCUGGAGUAGAAGAUACUCUUUACAGAGGCCCAGGAGAAAAUAUGAACAAAAAUUGGUGAAGGCCAUCACCAGACCUAGCAGUUGCAUCCUGUUCAGCACCACAGACAGCUCCCUCGCAAAUGCCAUCCUUUCAAAAGAUGAAGUCUCACUCCAUUGCCAGGCUGGAGUGCAGUGGCGCGAUCUUGGCUCUCGGCUCACUGCAACCUCCACCUCCCAAGUUCAACUGAUUCUCCUGCUUCAGCCUCCCAAGUAGCUGGGACUACAGGUUAUGGGUCACAUUUUCCUGCUUCUUGGCAUGUCUAGUAAUUUUUUAUUGGCUGGUGGACAUUGAGUUGUACUUCUCCACUGAGGCUCUUUUAAGCCCAGAGGAAAUACUCAGAUUAGAAGAGGUAUGAUGAAAAGAUAGCAUGAAAAGGAAAAGGAAUCCAGAUACCAGAAUUCUUGCCCCCCGCCCACAACACAACAUGAUGGGUUGACUGAGGUCACAGAGCUACAGGCUGCCAAUCCUGGUGAAAAAAUUUUUCCUUUCAGUCCUGGAUUGAUGUGGAAAUAAUUACACUGGUAAGGAGAUCCAAGGCCUGCCAUCAUGUGAAGUGGCCACGCCCCUUAUGGACAAAGUCAAGCCACCAACUCCCAAAUGUAUCAGUGCAGCUGCUUCAGAGGAAAUCACUGAAAAAUAAAGAAAAACCAUCCAUGCAUGGCUGCAUCCAGUGUACCUGUAAUCCUGAAGAAAAGGUCCUAAUUCCUUCCAUGCUGAAAUGCUAGCUUUGGUUUCAGAGAGAGACUUUAUUGCAACUGUGACCACCGUCACUGGUGAGCACUGCUGUUCGGCCCCCAGCGGACUUAAAAGACUGGAAUGUGGUAGUGGCGGUCGUUCUCGGUCAGCAGGGAGAUCUCCGGCCAGUCCCUGAGAGGCUCCUCUGGGUAGCAGACUUCAAAGUCUCUGGAGUUAAACUUGAACAGUCUGAACACUUUUAUCUUUACUUCAAGGGAGUAUCCAAGUAUAAACAUAUCAAUCUGUGGAUGAGAUGAAAGACAGGUCACAGAUCCACACUUGCAAAUUCCUGCCUCCCGCCACGGUGGGGGGAAGUGUUCCUCUGCAGUUUAUGAAAUAAUCUGCUUGUUGACAGACCCACCCAUACACCACUGAGUGGGCACAGAGUUCAGAACAAAUGCUCAUUGUGUGGAAGGAAGGGGACGAGCAUAGGAACAACUCUGUAGACUAGCAUGUAAAAAUCACAGGAAAAAGCUACUUGAAAAAAAUUAGUGAAAAAAGAAAAGAACACUCAUGAUAAAAACUACAUUAUUUUCCAAUCAGUUUUAUAUCAUUCAAUCAGUUUUAUAUCAUUUUAUAUCCAUUUGUUUAAAAAUGUCAGAUAAUUUUGUUCGCCCUCUAGGAAAGCAAAACAAAAAAGAAACUCUUUUCUAGAGGGAUAAAAGCAUUUUCAUUUUCUGGCUUUAGAAAGUUUCAAUUAAUUUCUAUCUAUCUGCAAUAGGUAACCAAAUGCUUUCCCAAAAUUAUCUCAUUUUCCACCUGGACUUUUUCCUGGUGAACAUCUACGUGAGAGAACCUGUUGGCAUCUGGGAAGCAGCGUGAGAGGUCAGAAAGGCCCCCAGAAUUGGUGCUCUCUGGCUAGAGGUCUGAGGAGACACAAAGCAGCCAGCACAGAAUAAUGCAUUUAUUAGUCUUCUUUUCCUCAUUUGAGGGGCGAUAAUAUCAAUCAACCACCUCUGUGCAAUUGCUUACAUCACCACUGAAAAGUCAACCCCAGACACCUCUGUGUUCAAAUAGUGCCAUAGCAUCCUUGAUCAAAUACAAGCAGUUCUUCCUCCCCGGUUACCUGCUCUAGUCCACAUGUGUCGCCUACAGAAUUCAGGUGAUUCAUCAUGAAGCUCAAAGGAUCAGUGGAUGUCUCCCUGGAAAACAGGAGUCUAAAAAGACUGGGAAUGACCUUUUUAGUCUUCAUUUGUUCAUAAACUUCAGUGACUUGAUACAGCAUGAUGAACUUUAAAGCUUCAUAAAGUUUAUAUUCCAGAAUGGCAUCUGAAAAAAGCGUGUUGCACAUACUUCCUCUCUUGUGAUAAUCUCUAAUUCCAUUAAAUUCAGUCCACUAAAAACAGAUGUAAAAGUGAAAUUCAGAAGGAUAAAGGUGAAGACAUAUACCAUUCCAUAAUUUUUAAUGUGUUUAU
Pan troglodytes (chimpanzee) is the source of this 2954-nucleotide long non-coding RNA. RefSeq lists it as uncharacterized. The transcript has 10 exons. The record is from RefSeq and is a predicted model, not a curated record. NCBI's taxonomy places the organism in Eukaryota, Metazoa, Chordata, Mammalia, Primates, Hominidae.